AGUGAACGCUGGCGGUAGGCCUAACACAUGCAAGUCGAACGGCAGCACAGUAAGAGCUUGCUCUUACGGGUGGCGAGUGGCGGACGGGUGAGGAAUACAUCGGAAUCUACUUUUUCGUGGGGGAGAACGUAGGGAAACUUACGCUAAUACCGCAUACGACCUACGGGUGAAAGCAGGGGAUCUUCGGACCUCGCGCGAUUGAAUGAGCCGAUGUCGGAUUAGCUAGUUGGCGGGGUAAAGGCCCACCAAGGCGACGAUCCGUAGCUGGUCUGAGAGGAUGAUCAGCCACACUGGAACUGAGACACGGUCCAGACUCCUACGGGAGGCAGCAGUGGGGAAUAUUGGACAAUGGGCGCAAGCCUGAUCCAGCCAUACCGCGUGGGUGAAGAAGGCCUUCGGGUUGUAAAGCCCUUUUGUUGGGAAAGAAAAGCAGCAGGUUAAUACCCCGCUGUUCUGACGGUACCCAAAGAAUAAGCACCGGCUAACUUCGUG
This 492-nucleotide ribosomal RNA is filed under the name uncultured bacterium. RNAcentral's name for it is "partial 16S ribosomal RNA". It matches the Rfam family "Bacterial small subunit ribosomal RNA", at positions 29 to 507 of the family's 1533-position model. The record is from RNAcentral.